This 448-nucleotide long non-coding RNA is filed under the name Pan troglodytes (chimpanzee). RNAcentral describes it as "long non-coding RNA NONPTRT015298". Lineage: Eukaryota; Metazoa; Chordata; Mammalia; Primates; Hominidae. The record is from RNAcentral.
GGUCACCUCUUCGCGCGAGCAGGGAGAUCAGAUCGAGAGCAGGACCUCCUCGCCAGUGAUUUGGAAUGAUAAAUGGGGAAGAGAAGGGGGUGAAGUUACCUGGGCGCUCAGGCAUGACUAAGAGAUAUCGUGAAAUUACAACUCAACAAUGAUUUACAGCACAGGCUUUUCACAACUAAGAGACUGUCCAUCAUGGUGCCAGUUUUUCUCAAAAUGGCAUGUGUGCAUGAAAUUCUACAGGCAUAUGGGGUCGUGAUCUGCUAAUCUCCAGUUAUUAUAACUACUUUGAAAAGGGACUUUCCAGCUAUCAGUACACUAUCUCACAAUUACCCUUGAACCAGAAGACAAUGAAUGAUUUGCUAAACAGAUGGCAUAGUCUAUGACAUGCAUCAUAUGUGUGAGCAAUCACAGAAGGUAUGACUUUUCUCAUGAAAUAUUUUCAGACAAA